GACGGACGCUGGCGGCGUGCUUAACACAUGCAAGUCGAACGGUGAAGCGCCUUCCUUUUUGGUGGGUGUGGAUGAGUGGCGAACGGGUGAGUAACACGUGAGUAACCUGCCCCCUUCUUCUGGAUAACCGCAUGAAAGUGUGGCUAAUACGGGAUAUUCUGGGUCUGUCGCAUGAUGGGUCUGGGAAAGAUAUUGUUUCGGUGGGGGAUGGGCUCGCGGCCUAUCAGCUUGUUGGUGGGGUGAUGGCCUACCAAGGCGGUGACGGGUAGCCGGCCUGGGAGGGUGGACGGUCACACUGGGACUGAGACACGGCCCAGACUCCUACGGGAGGCAGCAGUGGGGAAUAUUGCACAAUGGGCGCAAGCCUGAUGCAGCGACGCCGCGUGAGGGAUGGAGGCCUUCGGGUUGUGAACCUCUUUCGCCAGUGAAGCAGGCCUGCCUCGUUUGUGGGCGGGUUGACGGUAGCUGGAUAAGAAGCGCCGGCUAACUACGUG
This 494-nucleotide ribosomal RNA is filed under the name uncultured bacterium. RNAcentral's name for it is "partial 16S ribosomal RNA". It matches the Rfam family "Bacterial small subunit ribosomal RNA", at positions 28 to 507 of the family's 1533-position model. The record is from RNAcentral.